Molecule: long non-coding RNA, 1627 nt
Organism: Acinonyx jubatus (cheetah)
Lineage: Eukaryota; Metazoa; Chordata; Mammalia; Carnivora; Felidae
Exons: 6
Source: RefSeq, a predicted model, not a curated record
AAGAGAGAGAGAGAGAGAGAGACCCCAAAGGAUUCUAGAUGUGAGUGGAGGCACCAUUUCUGAUUUGGGAAUACCUAAAACUCAACAGUGGUACGAAGAAGAAGCUUCUGCUGAGGACCUGCAUGGGCCAGGGAGCUUCGACCAAGACAUGGGAAGGGGCUGAGAAGGUUUCCACCUGCAGCAUACCUGAUGGGGAAGGCCAGAGGGAGGAGAGCGAGGACGAAGACCCUCGGCCUCCCACCCACACUCCCUUUUCUUCACUGGUGCCUUCAGAUCGGGGGCAGGUGGGGGUUGUGGUCAGGAUAAUGAUCAGGAUGUACUACUUGUCUAGAGGAACCAGAUUUUUUUAUUUUUUAUUUUUUUGAGAGCCAUGUGGAAGUCAAGAAGUGGACUUGAUCUUAAGGGAGGAACAGAGAUCCUGGGUCAACCCAAGCCUCGUAGAGAAAGCGCGUGGUGGACAUUCGCCCUGGGAGCCGGGGGAUGAGGCUGUUUGUUCUUCUCCGGAGCACUGUGGAGUGUGGCUCUUGAGCUCUUUGGGCCUCAGACCUCUUCAGGAUCCGGCAGAAGCUGUCUCCCUCUGCCCUGCCGGCCGCACACAUGCACGGGACAGCGAUUACACGGCAGCCCCUCAGAAGCCCAGCUGGGCCCUGCGUUAGGAAGGAGUCCUUCAGGAAGGGGACAGCCCUGAGCCCAGGCUCCCUGGUAUCUGGGCUAAUGAGGGAUGUUAAUGACACGGAGGGUCCAGAAUGAGGAAAAUCGAAACCAGAUUUCUAUCGCGUGAGCUAAAAAGAAGCACGACACACGUCCCGCGUUGCAAUUUUGUAAAAAAGAUACACCGGUAAAGAGAGAACGGUGAAGGCCGUGUGGAGAAAUGAAAACGAUUUGCAGAAAAUGUUUGCUGAUCCCUGGUCUAGAAGCCCGGCUCUGCACCUUGCUCUCCUCGUCUGUGUAAUGUGGAAUCCGAGUUCCCUUCAUCGGUUUGAGGAAGUUCCUUCCUUUUCUCUGGUUUGCGGAGAGUUUUUCUCAAGAAUGGAUGUUGGAUUUUUGUCCAAUGCCUUUUCUGCGUCUUUUGAGAGGAGCAUUAUGGCUUUUCUUUUGGAGUCUAUUAACACGCUCUUCUGUUCCAGGUUGAGCUGCCCGCUGGUUCCGGAGAAAGGACAAGAAAGCCCAGGGCUGUCCGGAAGCAGAGGCUGAGACUGAGCCUGGGGUCCCACCUUCCCUCCCUGGGGCCCUGCAAAGACUCCAGGCAUCCUGCAGGACCCGGGAUCUGAGGCUCCCACACAGACUCCAGAAUGGCCUUUCCUUCCACGUCUGAGUUCCCUUCUGCGUGGGGUCCCAGGUCUUCCUCCACCCCAUGGGCCAGAACCUUUUAUCUGGGAGCCCAGGGCUCUUUUCCCGGCCUUGCCUUGGGGGAGGCGUCUGAGUCCCGGAAGCUCACCUGCCGUCAUAGCUUUUGUCCACUUGCUUCCGAGGCACCACGCCUCGCUCUCCUGAGCGCCCAGUGCCGUGAUGAGUGUCGAGGACCAUGAUCCUCUUCACCUCUGUGUGCCUCUCUAAAAUCAAAGCCAGUCCUCUAACCAACCAACCCGGCCUCUGCUAAACAGACCAUAGCAGAGCCCUCCCACGU